UUGAAUUUAUGCAAGAACCAAGAAGUACUCCAACUUCCUCACACUGUUGAAGUGGUCAGAUUGCAUGAUUGUGUCAAUUUGAAAAUGAUCCAAGAGCUUCCACUUAACCUUAGGAGUAUUUAUUUAGAUAGUUGCAAAAGUCUUAAAAUGCUUCCAAAACUUCCUCCAAAUCUUGAGGAUAUUACUUUAGAUGGCUGUUAAACCCUUGAAAUGCUCUCGGAACUUCCUCUCAAUCUUAAGACAAUUAGGUUAUCUAGUUGCAAAAAUUUAUUUAGGUGGUUGUGGAAAUUUUGAAAUGCUUCCAGAACUUCCUCCAAAUCUUGAGUAUAUUACUUUAGGUGGCUGU
Molecule: long non-coding RNA, 346 nt
Organism: Ipomoea nil (Japanese morning glory)
Lineage: Eukaryota; Viridiplantae; Streptophyta; Magnoliopsida; Solanales; Convolvulaceae
Exons: 3
Source: RefSeq, a predicted model, not a curated record